GACGUAGGGGGCCAGCGUUGCUCGGAAUUACUGGGCGUAAAGGGUUCGUAGGCGGUGCGGUAAGUCGGAAGUGAAAUCUCUGGGCUUAACUCAGAGGCUGCUUUCGAAACUGCCGUGCUAGAGUGCGGGAGAGGCGAGUGGAAUUGCAGGUGUAGCGGUGAAAUGCGUAGAUAUCGGAAGGAACACCUGUGGCGAAAGCGGCGCACUGGACCAAAACUGACGCUGAGGCGCGAAAGCUAGGGGAGCAAACAGG
This 253-nucleotide ribosomal RNA is filed under the name uncultured bacterium. RNAcentral describes it as "partial 16S ribosomal RNA". It matches the Rfam family "Bacterial small subunit ribosomal RNA", at positions 524 to 776 of the family's 1533-position model. The record is from RNAcentral.